Molecule: ribosomal RNA, 911 nt
Filed under: Bipolaris maydis (southern corn leaf blight pathogen)
Lineage: Eukaryota; Fungi; Ascomycota; Dothideomycetes; Pleosporales; Pleosporaceae
Description: partial large subunit ribosomal RNA
Rfam family: Eukaryotic large subunit ribosomal RNA
Source: RNAcentral
UAAGCAUAUCAAUAAGCGGAGGAAAAGAAACCAACAGGGAUUGCCCUAGUAACGGCGAGUGAAGCGGCAACAGCUCAAAUUUGAAAUCUGGCUCUUUCAGAGUCCGAGUUGUAAUUUGCAGAGGGCGCUUUGGCUUUGGCAGCGGUCCAAGUUCCUUGGAACAGGACGUCACAGAGGGUGAGAAUCCCGUACGUGGUCGCUAGCUAUUGCCGUGUAAAGCCCCUUCGACGAGUCGAGUUGUUUGGGAAUGCAGCUCUAAAUGGGAGGUAAAUUUCUUCUAAAGCUAAAUAUUGGCCAGAGACCGAUAGCGCACAAGUAGAGUGAUCGAAAGAUGAAAAGCACUUUGGAAAGAGAGUCAAACAGCACGUGAAAUUGUUGAAAGGGAAGCGCUUGCAGCCAGACUUGCUUGCAGUUGCUCAUCCGGGCUUUUGCCCGGUGCACUCUUCUGUAGGCAGGCCAGCAUCAGUUUGGGCGGUGGGAUAAAGGUCUCUGUCACGUACCUCUCUUCGGGGAGGCCUUAUAGGGGAGACGACAUACCACCAGCCUAGACUGAGGUCCGCGCAUCUGCUAGGAUGCUGGCGUAAUGGCUGUAAGCGGCCCGUCUUGAAACACGGACCAAGGAGUCUAACAUCUAUGCGAGUGUUUGGGUGUCAAGCCCGAGCGCGUAAUGAAAGUGAACGGAGGUGGGAACCCGCAAGGGUGCACCAUCGACCGAUCCUGAAGUUUACGGAAGGAUUUGAGUAAGAGCAUGGCUGUUGGGACCCGAAAGAUGGUGAACUAUGCUUGAAUAGGGUGAAGCCAGAGGAAACUCUGGUGGAGGCUCGCAGCGGUUCUGACGUGCAAAUCGAUCGUCAAAUUUGGGCAUAGGGGCGAAAGACUAAUCGAACUAUCUAGUAGCUGGUUCCUGCCGA